Molecule: ribosomal RNA, 336 nt
Filed under: Metamitobates squalidus
Lineage: Eukaryota; Metazoa; Arthropoda; Arachnida; Opiliones; Gonyleptidae
Description: partial 12S ribosomal RNA
Source: RNAcentral
CCCUGGUAUAAUAAAUUAUAUAGGAUCAAUUUACUUUUAAAAAAAUUAAAAAUUUUGGCGGUUAAUAAUUAAUUUAGAGGAGCUUGUUUGAACUAAGAUUUUACUCUUUAAAUUUUAAUAUUAAGUAGUUUAUUCAUCUCUGUUAUUAAAGGAGUUAUUGAAAUGAUAUAUAAUAUAUAUAUAUAAUAUUUCAGGUCAAGAUGUAGCAAUUUAAUAUAAAAAAUUAGCUACAAUUAUGUAAUACUUUGGAGUAUUUAUGAAUUUUAAUUAUAUAAUAAAUUGAAUUUAGUUGUAAUAGUAGUUAAAAUACUAUUUUGAUUUAAAGGUUACUAAUGU